CGGGUGCACCAGGCGCGAAAACUUUACAAUGCGGGAAACCGUGAUAAGGGGACACCGAGUGCCAGCAUCAUAUGCUGGCUGUCCAGGUGUGUAAAAUACACCUGUUAGCAAGGGCCGGGCAAGACCGGUGCCAGCCGCCGCGGUAACACCGGCGGCCCGAGUGGUGAUCGUGAUUAUUGGGUCUAAAGGGUCCGUAGCCGGUUUGGUCAGUCCUCCGGGAAAUCUGACGGCUCAACCGUUAGGCUUUCGGGGGAUACUGCCAGGCUUGGAACCGGGAGAGGUAAGAGGUACUACAGGGGUAGGAGUGAAAUCUUGUAAUCCCUGUGAGACCACCUGUGGCGAAGGCGUCUUACCAGAACGGGUUCGACGGUGAGGGACGAAAGCUGGGGGCACGAACCGGAUUAGAUACCCGGGUAGUCCCAGCCGUAAACGAUGCUCGCUAGGUGUCAGGCAUGGCGCGACCGUGUCUGGUGCCGCAGGGAAGCCGUGAAGCGAGCCACCUGGGAAGUACGGCCGCAAGGCUGAAACUUAAAGGAAUUGGCGGGGGAGCACAAG
RNAcentral lists this ribosomal RNA (555 nucleotides) under uncultured archaeon. Its description in RNAcentral is "bacterial SSU rRNA". It matches the Rfam family "Archaeal small subunit ribosomal RNA", at positions 327 to 882 of the family's 1478-position model. The record is from RNAcentral.